Long non-coding RNA from Beta vulgaris subsp. vulgaris (sugar beet), 1913 nucleotides. RefSeq lists it as uncharacterized. The transcript is spliced from 2 exons. Lineage: Eukaryota; Viridiplantae; Streptophyta; Magnoliopsida; Caryophyllales; Amaranthaceae. The record is from RefSeq and is a predicted model, not a curated record.
AAGCCCCAAAUCCCCCCUCCCCCAACCCCCCAACAAUAUUGAAAUUUUGGUUCCACCAAGAUUUGAACCUUGGUCUUCCAUGUGGGAGAUAAGAAGUCAUACCAUUGUUUGAAAAUUCUAUAUUACCUAUUCGGACACAUAGUAAAACAGGGAAGAGUAAAAUUGUGUCAUUAUAGUUAAUCUAAAUCUCUAUAUAUUCUCUUUAACCUUCAUAAUUGUUAAAAUAUGCCUUGAAUUAUCUGGCACUAGGAUUAACCAAGCACAUGGAUAUUUCGAUAUAUGCAAUAACUAGACUAUUUUUAUUUUAGUUUUGGAUUUAUGCCCAUUCAGUUUAAAUUAAUUAGAAGGGUAUCAUAUAAACUUUGUAAAUCAUGGUAUCAUUCACAAGCACUCCAUGUUCCUAACAUAGACUUAAACAGAUUAGGAACAAGUCAUUGAUGUCUUCUAAUAUGUCCCUUAUUGUCUUAUGUGUCACUUGUAAAUAUGAGACUAAGAGUGAAAAGAAAAAUUUGGUUCCUAAUGAGAUACUCCUUCUGUUUCAUUUUAAUCUACACACUUAUCUUUUCACGCAUGUCAAUGUAAAACUUUGAGGACAUAUAUCUUAAGUUUUGUAUUUGUAAAAAUUACAAAAAGUACAUAUUAAUAAAAUACAUGUUAUGAUGAAUCUAACAAGAUCCCACAUGACUACAUUUUCAUCUGCGUAUAAAUUACAAAUGAUGGUUAAAAUGAAACGGAGGAGUAUAUGUUAGUGGCAGUUUCAAUUGUUCCUAAAAACUCAGAAAAAUCAUAACAUAUAUGUGACAAUGUUUGAUCUAGGGUUAUUAGAUGUUAUCAUUGAGUCGUGAUACGCCCAUACCCGGUAUGGGGAGGUAGUUGCCCAUACCGGGGGUAAAAGCGUAAUUUCAUGCACAAAAUUGAAAUGGGUAAAAAUUGCAAACCAGAAACCCGAAAUUUGUUUGUUAAAAAAACCUUACUCUCCAUCUCUCCUCCUCCUUUCUCCCUCAUUCUCCCUUAAUUCUCUAUCAAAUCCAUGCAUCCUCGUUCUCCCUUAAUUAUCUAUCAAAUUCUCCCUCAUUCUCCUUUAAUUCUCGUAAUUAUUGCGUUUUCGGUGAAUUUGGUGAAUUGGCGUCCAUUUGGUGGAAGUUUUAGAAGGGUUUGGGUUGAAAUUCUGCUGUUGAAAUUGUAAAACAAAUUAAAAAUAAUUAUGAAUAUUGCAGAAAUUAGGGUAAUGUUGAUGUUUGCAGAUAGGUUAAAUUAUUAGAUAGUUAUGUGUUUAAAUCGUCGAGUAAUUGAGUCUUCAUUUUCAUCUUUGGUGUUUGAGGAAGUUAUGGGAUAUGUUGGAGAUGAAUUUUAUAUUAUUAUACAAUGAAAAAUGAUUUUUUGCAUUCAGAAUCAAAAUGUAGGCAAAAGUAAUUCAUGGGUAUUUCUGAGUUUUUCUUGAAACCGAUUCAUUCAUUGAUUUUUUUGAUUUGAUGAGAAGUUUUUCUUUCUAAUUUUUGGUUUAAAAAGAUGGGUGAUGAGUUUUUGUUGGAGAUUGUGAUAAAAAAGAAAAAAUGUCUGAAUUGGUAGCACGCAGUGGUCGUCAUCAGCAACGUUAUGAAGAUGGUUGUCGCCUUGUUGUUGGGUACAUGAAGAAGAGCAAAGUCAAUUACAUGAAGAACAAUUACGAUUGCAGGAAUGACAAGUUUUUGGUACUGGAUCUCACUUGCAAGUGCAACUUGGUUUUGGAAUUAAUUAUGCAACUGCCAGUGAACUUUUCUUUUGGUGAAUGGAUUUUAGGUUGGAAGUUAAUAUUUUUUGGUGAUCAAAGUUCUUUUGGUACAAUGAAGUACUCGUUUUUGUAAAUUGUCAAUGAUCAGACAAUAUUGAAUAUAUCUUUGCGUAUUUUAUGUUAUGAUAUGAUUCAUCAAACA